AGAGACUUAGGAUAAAUAGACCAAAGGCCUUCAAAGCCUUAAGCGGGAGUUAAACCCUCCCAGCCUCUG
This 69-nucleotide transfer RNA is filed under the name Gymnothorax pictus. Its description in RNAcentral is "tRNA-Trp". It matches the Rfam family "tRNA". From Rfam's summary of the family: Transfer RNA (tRNA) molecules are approximately 80 nucleotides in length. The record is from RNAcentral. Lineage: Eukaryota; Metazoa; Chordata; Actinopteri; Anguilliformes; Muraenidae.